CCUACGGGUGGCAGCAGUGGGGAAUAUUGGACAAUGGGGGGAACCCUGAUCCAGCCAUGCCGCGUGUGUGAAGAAGGCCCUCGGGUUGUAAAGCACUUUCAAUGAGGAAGAACGCCUGGUGGUUAAUACCCAUCAGGAAAGACAUCACUCACAGAAGAAGCACCGGCUAACUCCGUGCCAGCAGCCGCGGUAAUACGGAGGGUGCGAGCGUUAAUCGGAAUUACUGGGCGUAAAGCGCGCGUAGGUGGCUUGAUAAGCCGGUUGUGAAAGCCCCGGGCUCAACCUGGGAACGGCAUCCGGAACUGUCAAGCUAGAGUGCAGGAGAGGAAGGUAGAAUUCCCGGUGUAGCGGUGAAAUGCGUAGAGAUCGGGAGGAAUACCAGUGGCGAAGGCGGCCUUCUGGACUGACACUGACACUGAGGUGCGAAAGCGUGGGUAGCAAACAGGAUUAGAUACCCCAGUAGUC
RNAcentral lists this ribosomal RNA (465 nucleotides) under Vreelandella stevensii. Its description in RNAcentral is "partial 16S ribosomal RNA". It matches the Rfam family "Bacterial small subunit ribosomal RNA", at positions 338 to 795 of the family's 1533-position model. Lineage: Bacteria; Pseudomonadati; Pseudomonadota; Gammaproteobacteria; Oceanospirillales; Halomonadaceae. The record is from RNAcentral.